This is a long non-coding RNA of Passer domesticus (house sparrow), 750 nucleotides long. RefSeq lists it as uncharacterized. The record is from RefSeq and is a predicted model, not a curated record. NCBI's taxonomy places the organism in Eukaryota, Metazoa, Chordata, Aves, Passeriformes, Passeridae. The transcript has 5 exons.
UCCUCUGCUAUGACAAAAGCACCUCUGCUAUGACAAAAGGCUGAAAGAACUGGGAUUGUUGAGCCUGGAGAAAAGAUUUAAGAGUUCCUUAGUUCCAGCCUUCCACUACCUGAAGAGAUCAUAAGAAAGAUAGAAAGGAGGGACUUUUUACAAGAGCAUGUAACACAACAUGUAACAUGUAACAAGAGCAUGUAACACGACAAGGGGGAGGGGCUUCAAACUGAAAGAGAGUAGGUUUAGAUCAUAUAUUAGGGAGGAAUUCCUUGUUGUGAUGGUGGUGAGGCACCAGAACAGGUCACUGGGAGAAGUUGUGGGUGUCCCCUCCCUCAAAAUGUUCAAGGCCCUGUUGGACAGGAUCUUGGAAAACCUGGUGUAGUGGAAGGUGUUCCCAACCAUGGCAGAGCAGCUGGAGCUAGGUGGAGAAGAGCGAGGGGGGAAAAUGAAAAUAAAAGAGAUACUAUAGUUCUGAUGUUUAUUUGGGAUGUAAGUCUGUCUCAUAAAACAACACACAGAAGGACAAAUACUACAGACAAAAACUUCAGAGGCAGAACAAAGCAGAGUUAAAUAGAUUUCUCAUAGCAGUUAAAUUCUUUCUUUACAAAAUGUAAGCAUCCUUGACUGGCAAAUGAAGUGUUGUGAAAGAAAAGAAAUUGAUAGAAAACAGUGCCUUCCAACUGAAUUGUUAAAAAACGGUUUCUUCAACAUGAUUUACUCACUCAAAAGAAGUGACUCGUACAUCCCAAAGUUGUG